UUUUUGCUUCCUCUUCUAUGUUGCCUCUUUGUUUUUGGUGAAACUCCUCAUUGAUGGAUGUCCUGUUUUGGGUCAGUUAUGCCUCUAUUCUCAUGAAUAUACAAAUUUCUCUUAUAGCACAUGAUAUGUAUCUUAACCAAGGUAAAUUUAUUCUUCUUCUUUAACUGUUAUGAAUCUUGCUUCCAUCACCAACUCUGGUUGUAUGUGUAGGCAGGUGGGUUAUGUAGAUUGUGAAGGUUGUUUGAUGAGGAGAAAGCCAACCGAAGCUGCUUCCAGAGGUAUUCUUUUUCCUACUCUUCUAAUUUACUCACAAAACAUCAACAGCUUACUCAAAAAAUCACUUGUUUGAUAGGUUUGUUGUUGUAUCAACAUCUAGGCUUAUUGCUGACUUUCUUUAAUCAUUUGCUCAAGAUGAUGUCGUUCCCCUUUGCUUUUGGUGAUGUAUUUUGUGCUAACUUUAAUUAGCUAUCUGAUUAGCAGUUCUAGAUCCUGGAUUUAGGAACACCUAAUGUAAAUAUUGUAGCUGCUUAGAAUUUGCACCUUUAGGUGCUCUAUCACUGUUUCCCAAACUCUGCAUGUGGCUUUAUGUACUUAGUGCUUAUCUGUAAUGAUAGUAUUUUCGCCUUUUCUGUGUUGAUAAUUUUUCUCCCUUUGUUUGGUAACUAUUGGAAUGAAUGAAAACUCAACUUACUGAUUGUGUCAACAGCUAAAUUAGCUAUAUAAUCUGCAAGAUCAUUCCUUUCUCUGUAUAUGUGACUAACUUGUAGCUCAACUUGUUCCUUGUUUCUCCUUAUAUCAUCCAGAAGCUCAACCACCUCCCAUGGAACUUUCCAUACUCUUUUAAUCACUUGGAUUAUCAAUAAAGAAUCUGAGUCAACCUUCACUUUUGUAAAGUUAUUCUCCCUGCAGUACUUAAUUGCUUCUUGUAUUGCCCUCAUUUCAGCAAUAACAUUAGCUGUAAUACCAAUGUUAUUUUCUUGGGCAUAUAACAAAUCUCCUUCUGCAUUCCUCAGACAAAAAUCAUAAGCUCCAGGACCUGGGUUCCCUCUACAAGCUCCAUCAGUAUUGCACUUGAUGACUCCAUUUUCUGAUGGUUCUCAUUUCACCAAGUGAUAGAAAUUCCUUGGUCUAUACUUUGUGAAAAAAUUGAUCAUAUCUUCCCAUUUUAUAAUUGUCAUGCCUGACCACUCAUAUCUCUUCUUCAGCAUAUAAGUAACACUUCGUUCAAUUUGGGAAACCAUCCCUGCAAAGGUUGUAUUACCUCUAUACUUAAUAGUAUUUCUCCUCUUUCAUAAUGCCCAAAUGACUAAUGCAGGAAUCACCUUUCAUACUUGUUGCUUUUUCCUUGGUCCUUGAUAAUUUCACCAUAUCUUCAAUUGAUGAGCCAGUUGUCUCCUUUCAUCCUUAAUACCUGCAAAAUUAGCAAAGAACCUCCUUAGCUUUAAGGCUAUUGAGGAUGUUAGAAAAAGGUGUUCCAUUAUUUCCUGCUUUCUUUUCUCAUAUCACCAGCAUCUAGACACUAAGUUCACCUUCAUCUCUACAGAUUGUCAUCUGUAGGAACUCUUGCCUUCCAAACUUUCCAUAAGAAAAAAAUCAUUUUGAAAGGUAGCUCCUUGUUCCAGAUUUGCAUAUGUUCUUCCCUUUUUUUAUUUUUGGCUCUUAAUAAUUCCCAUGCAGUUUGUACACUAAAGUUACCAUGAUGAGUUCCCAUCCACCAAGAUCUAUCCCUUGUAUCAUUCUGCAAAGAAGGAAUGACAUUUCUUACUAUAUAAUCCACUAUUUCUUCAGACAAGACAAGUACAGGAUGAGCAUUAACUUUUUCCAUCUCCCUUGCCUUAUGAACUGCUUUACAUCUAUUUCCACUUCUCCUUGAUCAUGAUCCUCAAUAUAAUACAAAGCUCCUUUUUUUGUCCAGUUAUCAAACAAGAAACUAGCCUCUCCUAAUUUAAUUUGGCACCAUAUGUUAUGCUCCACUUUUUCUCUUACUUGAAUAAGUUUUUUCCAAAUUGAUGAUGCACCUAGACCUUGUGCUAUCACUGGAUGUUUCUUUUUACAGUACUUGUUCCAUAUAAAUUUGCUCCAUAUUGAUCCAGAAGAGGUCCUAAAAUUCCACCAAAGCUUUGCAAAUAAAGCAUCAACUACUGAAUAAAGUGACCUUAAGCCUACUCCUCCCUCAUUCAUAGGUCUGCACAGUUGAUCCCAUGUUAUCCAGUGUUUACCUUUUAAUCCCCCUGGUUUUCUCUAAAAUAACUUAGCCAUUAACUUAUGAAUUUGAUCAAAAACCCAUUUUAGAGGAUUCAUAACUGACAUCAAAUAGAUAGGUAAAGAUUGUAGAACAUUUCUGAUUAAAAUUUAUCUCCCACCAUAUGUUAAAAGCCCGUUGUGCCAUGAUAAGAUCCUCCUCUUCACUUUUUGAAUCAAUUACUAAAAAUGGAUUUUCUUCUUUCUUCUAUAGUAGAUUGGACAUCCCAUGUAGGUAAAUGGAAAGGUACCUAUAGCAAUACCUAUAAUUCUCCUUAUUUUGCUCUUAGUAGAUAGCAGUACUUUCUUAUGUAUAUAUAAAAAACUUUUUGAGAGAUUAAUAAGUUGACCGGAAACAUUCUCAUAAUUAACCAAUACUUUCAUCAUCUUUCUUAUCGAUCCUUUAUGUCCUUAGAAAAACAAGAUAGUAUCAUCUAGAUGGUUGAUCUUUUCACUCUACUUAGGCAUGCCAAAUCUAAUGAAAGUUUGGUCUUCAUGUAGUUUGUUAAGAUUUCUUAUUGACACCUCAGCAUUAAUAAUAAAAAGGGAAGGGGAUAAAGGAUCUCCUUGUUUGAGACCCCUAGUGGAUUAAAAGAAACCAUAUGAUUUGUCAUUAACCAAUACAGAAUACUAGUUAUUAGACAUUAAUCUCCAAAUCAUAUCUAUGAUUCUUUCUAUGAAAUCAAACUUCCCUAACACCUUAGUCAUAUAAAUCUAUGUAACUCUAUCAUAAGCCUUAGUUAUAUCCAGCUUGACUAUAAUAUUAUGAUAUUUAUCCCUCCUUUUUAUAUCCCUGACUAUUUCCUGAGUCAAUAAUACAUUCUCAGCAAUACUUCUCCCUUUCAUGAACCCAGUUGAUUAUGUGAAAUAAUCAUUGGUAAUAGUUCCACCAAUCUUCCAUGAAUUACUUUUGAUAUGACCUUACUAAUAUAUGUGCUUAAGCUUAUUGGCCUCAAAUCAGCAAACCUCUUGACCACUUCUUUUUUAGGUAUAAACACUGGAUUAGUAUGAGUUACAUACCUAGGUAGUUCAUAUCUACAAAAAAUGCUAUAACCAAGUUGAUCACAUCUUCCUUGAUGACAUCCCAGCAGCUCUGAAAAAACCUUCCUGAGAACCCAUUCGAACCAUAAGCAUUAUCACUGUUAAGUGAGAAUACUUCUUAUUUGAUUUCCUUAUCUGAUGGUAUUCUAUCCAUCUCCUCUUUCUGGUCAGCUAAAAUGAUACUUGGAAUAUAAUCAAGCAAUUUAUAAUCCUCAUUCUUUUUAUACUCCAUAAAUUGUUUUUUAAAAUAAUUAACUACUUUUUCCAUAAUACUGUCUAGUUCCUAUAAAAUUGCUCUUUGUUCAUUUUCUAUAUUUUGAACAAAGAGUCUCUUCCUUCUGCCCAUAACAUAAUUGUGAAAAAAGUUAGUGCUUCUUUCUCCAUCCUUGAACCAUGUCAUUCCAGACUUUUGUUUCCAAAAUUCUUCCUCGAGUUGAUAAUGCUUCCUUAGUUCUUCUUCUGCUUUCCUCAGUUCCAUUCUAUUUUCCUCAAAAUAGUUUAUUUCUAGCUGUAAUUCUUUCACUCUUAGAAUGUCUUCCAGAGUUGACACUUUGUGAAAUAUAUUACCAAAAGUAUCUCUACUCCAUUUUAUAAGAACCUUCCUUAAAUUCUUUAGCUUUUCAUUAAAAAUAUGAAAAGGACUGCUACUCCAUUUUGCAAGAACCUUCCAUAAAUUCUUCAACUUUUCAUUAAAAAUUGAAAAGGACUAAUUUGGACUAAAAUACUCCAAUUUGUUUUGACCACCUCUUUAAAACUGUUGUGUUGUGCCCAAAAGUUUAAAAACCUAAAAAGUUUCAAUACCCUUUUUUAAUUCCCAUUACACUUUAAUAAAAGUGGACUAUAAUAUGAUCUAUCUCUUAUCAAAUGCUCAACCUCUGAAUUAGGUCUUUCCUGCAUAAACUAUGGAUUACACAAAAUUUUGUCCAGCCUGUAGAAAAUGCACUACUCCUCUGUUCUCCCAUUCCACCAAGUGUAUUAACUUCCUUUGUAAACUAAUUCUUAAAGUGCACAAUUAUUCACGCAUUGUGCAAAAUCUAUUAUUUCAUCAAAAGUAACAUCAAGACCUCUAAGUUUCUCUUCCUCAUUUAGAAUGACAUUCAAAUCUCCCCCAACUAUCCACGCUUAUGAAUGUCUUUGCUUAUCUCUUCCAGCUCCUCCUACAAUUCUAACCUCUUCAAAACACUACAUCUAAUAUAGACUAAGGUUAUCCAAGGCUCUUUCCUGUUAGCAGAAAGUACAAAGUGGAUAGUUAUUUGCUAUUGAGUGUUAUACUCUACUUUCCCUUCCCAAUCAUCAUUCUAAAAGAUCCAAAUCUUUGAAGAACAAUUCAUUAUUGCAUUCUGCAUCCCUAACUUACUUUUAUAUACAUCUAAUUCUUGUGGCCCCUGGAAAGGUUCCAAAAGAGCUAUAAAAAAAUCUUAUAUCUUUUUUAAGAUCAAUUACUCUAUUAAAGGAAUUUUGAGUAUUGACUAAUCUUAUAUUCCAAAAAAAUAGGUGUUCAAUCAUUAUUUAGAAGUAGUAGGUUUAACUGAGCUACUCAUUGUACUUCUAAUCUUGGACACUUUGUUGUUUAUCCUUCCUACUCUUAAUUCUCUAUAUGUCUAGGAGAUAAACUCUUUUUAGAACCAACCUCUGAGAUAUUCUCUUGCAUGUCUUCUUCUUCUUCUUCUUCUUCUUCAUUCUUUUCUUCCUCCUUAUUUAUUAGCUUGUGUCAUAUCUUUUAUGUAUCUAUGUUCCCCUGCUUUAUUUGUUGGACCAUGGCCUCCAGUUGAAGUUUUUUCACCCUCCACCUUCAAAGUUAGUUUUAGUUGAUCAUUUGGUGGCUCUUUGUAUUUAUCACCACUCUCUUUUGUAUUCUAAUUUUGUCACUCCUAUUGUAAGUUAGCUACCUCUAUUAUAUCCAUCAUUCUUCUCAUUCAAAGAUGUUACUUGUUUCUCCUCUUCAAUUCUGUUAUUGUGGUUUCUUUGCUUUCCAUCUUCUUGUACUAAACUAUUCUUUUGCUACCUUUGUUCUGAUGAUUAUAAUCUUUACCUUUUGCAACCUCAAAUAUCUCUUUCACCCAUUUUAUUUUAGACCUUUUCUCCUACUUCUUUGUUGCUCCCUUGGUUGAUAAAUGAGUGGUGCUUUUCAUUUGUUGAGAAUCCUGUCUUUGAUUGUCUUUGUCCCUUCCUUACUUGUCAGAAGCUUCAUUAAUGAGAACAUCAAACUUGUUGCUGUAAUUAGUACUUCCUCAUUCACCACUUUGUCUCUUUGAUUCCACCUCUGUACCAUACCUCCUUUAUGAUGAAAUCCACCUCUUUUACCACCAUUCCAUCUUCUUUGUUCUUGAAAAUUGCUAGCAUUAUUUUUUCCUUUACCUUUAUCUUUAUCUCACUCUUUCAGCUCUUUUUUUUCCUUUUUUUACCUUUUUAUGUCAUGAGUCUUAUUAACCUCCUCGUUGUCUUCACUCUCUUCUUCUUUGGUAUAUAACUCUGGAUGCAAAACAAAACAUUCCUUCUCAUUAUGCCCUUGCAGUUUGUAGUUUUUACAAUAUUUUGGAAGAUAGUCAUACUUUCUCUUGAUCCACUUUGCUACUAUCUCCCCUGACUUCUUCUUAAUUCCAACAUUAACAUGCUUUGGUAAUUCAAUUAAAAGAUCUACUUCCACUUUCGCCCUUGCACAACUACAUCUUUUUUUAUUAUUGGUAGCCAUAUCCACUUGUAAAGGCUUGACCACUGCUGCUGCCAAACAAAAAAUGGUUUCUUUGCCAAAGAAGUUUGGUGGUAAAGCCGGUAAUGAUAUCCAUGCAAUAGUUAUUGAUGUCUCUUCUUUUGGAUCAAACAAAGGAUCCCACUUCAAUAUUCUCAUGAGAUAAUUCUAAUUUUUGUGCGCAAUAUAAAACAUAGGUUUCGAUUAUAGAUUGACAUAAUCUUCCAUCCUUGACGCUCUUAUUAGAAUAUAUCUAUUACAUAGUAAACCUAUAUUGACAUCCCCCUUUAGUUCCAUUGUUUUUGGAUGAGUUUCCUCAAUUCCUGAAUGUCAGGUCAUCCAUACGAGAACUUUCCCACAAUGGAAUACUCUAGAUCUUCAUUAAUAAUCAUUUGGGACACUUCCUCCUCUUCCCACACCACUCUCGGUUCUCCAUGCAAGUACGUCAAUGUUUGAUGGGAAUGUCAGCUCUUUUUGCUGCUUCUGGUUAUAAUGUGGCUGCAUAAUUCCUUCCAGUUGUGAGAACUGCAACUAAAGAUUCAUUAGGGUAUUGGCCAAUCCCCGGUGAAGAAUGGUCGAUGGCCAUCGGACGGUGGUACCAAACCUAGGGUUUUUUUACGUUGGAGUUUUAAGGGUAGAGAGCUUUUUCCAACAACAUUAAUUUCGCCCAUUUAUUAGUUCAACCCAUGUCAAUUAAUAUGUUUCAACGCGGUAAAAUUUGGGUUGAUAUGCAACCCGAAUUAAUUUUUGAGAAAUCUAGUUAAAAUAUUUUAAGAGGAUUUUUUAAAAUUUGAUAUGAUAUAAUCAUAAUAAAAAAUAAUUUUCAUUCGACACUAAAAGUUUAUAAAAGAAGAAAUAAAUCAAUUAAAACAUAGUAAGAAUUGAGCGGGUUGGGUUAUAUAACCCAUCAUAAUUUGUUGCCUAACUCGUUUUGACCCAAAUAUUGGAUCUACCCAUCCAAAUUUGCUCCAACCCGCCUAAUUGUCACCCAUAAUCAGACACAUAUUUAAUUUGAAUAAAUAUGAACAAAUUUUAACUUUUAAUUUUAGUCUUGAAUAUUACAAUGAAAAUGAUAUUUGAGGGUAAUAUUAUCACUUUAGUAACUUCAUCCAAGGAUAACUAAUCUUAAAAUAAAUUAUCUGAUAUAUCUGAUAUAAGUAAUUUCAAAAUUAGCUAAUUUGUUUUCACUUCACACGGUUGCAAGAAAAUUAAAUAUGUCUAAAUAAUAAUUAUUAUAAAUAAAUUUCAAACACACACAUAUAUAAAUACUAGAGGAAAAUGACCCAUGUUAGCAUAACCCAAUAUCGUAAAAAUUAAAAUUAAUGAUAUUAUAUUUUUAUCAAAAUAAUAAUUUAAAUAAAUAUAAAUAAAGUAUGCACAAUUUAUAUAUAUAUAGAUAGAUAGAUAGAUAGAUAGAUAGAUAGAUAGAUAGAUAGAUAGAUAGAUAGAUAGAUAGAAUUUAAGAUAGAUAGAUAGAUAGAUAGAUAGAUAGAUUCUAUUGAUGUUCUAAAUAAAUUCUUAAUUAUCUGGAAAUAUAGUAAGCAUCGAGAAAAGGUGUUUUUUAGUUUUAUACUUCUAGGAAUGUUAUGAAUCGAAUUAACUUUACCAGAUUAGUUAUUAAGUUUCUUCAAUUAAAAUCAUAAGUUUGGUAUGUUUUUUCUUUUUACUAAAUAACUUUAUUAAGUAUAUUUUAAAAUUAUAAUUUAACAAGUAGAAAAUAAAAUUUUAUUUUUAAUAUACAAUCAGAAUAAAGAAUAAAGCUUAUUUAAUUUUAUUUAGUAGAUUAAUUAUAAUUUACUAUCAUGAAUUAUUAUCUCAUUAGUAUACUUAAAUAUAUUAGAUUUAAAUAAUUUUAUAUGGAUCUUAAAAAAAUAAUACAUCAAUAAUAUUUGGGAAAUAAAAAUGAAAAUAGAUGAAAGAUUAUAUGGAAAAUAAAUUAAAUUUUAUUAAUUAUAUUUUAAAAUUUAAAUUUAAUUUAGAUAGAUAGAUAGAUAGAUAGAUAGAUAGAUAGAUAGAUAGAUAGAUAGAUAGAUAGAUUCUAUUGAUGUUCUAAAUAAAUUCUUAAUUAUCUGGAAAUAUAGUAAGCAUCGAGAAAAGGUGUUUUUUAGUUUUAUACUUCUAGGAAUGUUAUGAAUCGAAUUAACUUUACCAGAUUAGUUAUUAAGUUUCUUCAAUUAAAAUCAUAAGUUUGGUAUGUUUUUUCUUUUUACUAAAUAACUUUAUUAAGUAUAUUUUAAAAUUAUAAUUUAACAAGUAGAAAAUAAAAUUUUAUUUUUAAUAUACAAUCAGAAUAAAGAAUAAAGCUUAUUUAAUUUUAUUUAGUAGAUUAAUUAUAAUUUACUAUCAUGAAUUAUUAUCUCAUUAGUAUACUUAAAUAUAUUAGAUUUAAAUAAUUUUAUAUGGAUCUUAAAAAAAUAAUACAUCAAUAAUAUUUGGGAAAUAAAAAUGAAAAUAGAUGAAAGAUUAUAUGGAAAAUAAAUUAAAUUUUAUUAAUUAUAUUUUAAAAUUUAAAUUUAAUUAUUAGUAUUUCAUACAUUUAAUGAUAAAAAUAAAAUUUAUCAAACAAAAAUGAGAAUUUUUCUUAAUUUACCAAAAAAACAAAUAAAAACAAAAUUUCAUUUUAAAUAUAAAAUUUUAAUAAAGAAUAAAAUUUAUUUACUUUUAUUAAGUAUGAAAAUAGAUGGAAGAUUAUAUGGAAAAUAAAAAUAUGGAAGAGAUGAAAAGGUCAACAUAUAGACAAGGGGCAUGUUGUAUACCAUUUAUGGCAAAUCACGAAACUCAAUGAGUCCCACCAUUGACAUGACCCAAACCCCGGGCCUUGUCAUAUGGGCACCCUAAGCCCACAUGAACUGGAGGUCGCCCCCAAUAGCCUAACCCAAACUUCUCAUCAUAUAAUAUGAGUCAAAGGAAUUCCAACUCACAAGUUAAGAUUGCAGAAAUAAUAUCAUAAGUCAACAUUAGAUUCAUAAUAAAUAACUCGCACCCAAGUUAACAAUUGUUCACAAUACCUCUAUACAAAAUGAAGUCAAUAGAUGUAUAUGUAGGGACAAGCCCCUGACGAUAGCCAAACCAAGUCUUAAUGAGUCAAAGUCUAAUCAUAACAGACCAAGAGAUGAAGAUCUUCCGGGGUAAGGAAGCUCACCCCUUCAAGUCAGUGCAUGAACCGCUUCGAUCUACUAAUCACUACGCAGAAAGAGAAAAAGAUGCUCCAACCCCUAUGUCAUGUGGGGACAUAGCGUCCGGAGAUUGUUAGCGGUUGAAACGCUAGCAUGUAGCCCAAGUAUAAGUGAUAAAAUAUCAUCAUCAAUCAAUAUCAAGUCAAUAUAUCACAUUUUAUUUAAUUCACACACUAAUCCAUACAUAUAGAUAUCUCACAUGCUAAUCAAAAUAUCAAGGCUCAUCAUCAUUCUCAAGUAUUCAUUCAUUAGACGUGAAGUGGAGGACUAAAACCUUUUUCACUUAUAGUUUCAUAUUCUCAAUAGGCAAAGGACUCUAGCCACAUUUACCUUAUUAUUAGACUGGGACUUUAACUAUACGCACUCAUUCAUUAGUCAAGGACUUUAACCGCUUACAUAUUCAUUCAAACAAAGGACUCUAACCACACCUACAAUCAUCUAGGCAAGGAAUCCAGACUCAUGCCCAUUUAUUAGAUAAGGGACUCUAACCUCAUGUAUCACUUGGACGUUAACCACAAGUCAUUUCCUUCUACGAGGUACUUUGACCUCAAGAGAUCUUUUUAAGCACAUGACUUUAACCUCGAGCAAUAUCAUUAGAAAGGGACUUUAACCUCAAACCCUUUAUAAGGAAAGUGACUUUAACCUCAAGACAUCACAUAAGGCAAAGGACUUUGACCUCAAAAUAUCACAACUAUCAUUAGUUGGCAUUUAGGACUUUGACCCUUUGCCCAUGCAUCAACACAUAGUCAAUACAAUAUUUAAGGACUUUAACCACUUCUGCUAAUUCAACACUAUACAUGACCACAUGCUCUUUGUGGGAGCCUUCAUUGACCAACCAUAUCAAUAGGCCAAUGCCUUCACUUAAUUCAACAUACAAAGCAAAUUAUGGUCAUCAAGACCCAUACAAGAAUUCUAUGCCACAUUCUCACCAUACUAGGGUUCAACCCAUAAUUUAAGUUCAUCUUUAUAUCUAGGGACUUUAUCCUUUUUUAGACAACAGCCAAGGUUAUCAAUUUCAUAACACAUGGUUCAUAAUUCCUUUAACACAUUAUUUAUCAUUCAUCCAUGUUCAUUCAGGCCAUUGCCCUAGUUCAAUACGUCAACAAUAUAUAACUAAAUAACUUACUAAGAUGUUUUCACAAAUGCCUUGGGUGCAUACCUUCAACAAGGCCAUUUCCAUGGUAUAUAUUAUCAAGAUUAGGGUUAAUUAAGACCCUCAUAUUAAACCACAUAUAACAAGAACCUACACAUGCAAUUUAUCAUCAAUAUCACAUAUAAACAUAAGUCUAAGCAAGAUUCAGUCUCAUACAUCAUUAGGCAACAAAAUUCUUUUCAUUUGAUUUCAAAACCACCAUGUACACCUACUAAUCCAAGUGUUAAAUACACAGGAUUAAAGAUAUUUAAAGAGAGGAAGAGAUACAUUCCUUAAACAAGAUGACACAUCAAUGAUCUUGGCUCCUUCUUUUCACUAGAACCUUUACCAAAGUCACUUCUUGCAUUUGUAAUCGGCAAACUUUCCGAUCCAAAAUCCUCACCAGGAUCUCUUCUUAGGACAAAGUGUCCGAAAUACCAACAUCUUCUAAAAGGACAACCAAGGAAGGAUCACCACACAUUUCCGCAAUAUAGAGACAUGGAAAACUGGGUGAAUAGAGUCCAUACUAUAAGGAAACUCCAACUCAUAGAAAAUAUUGCAUACCCUCUUCACAAUCAAAUAGGGACUGAUAUAUCGGGGACUAAACUUUCCCUUUUUGCCAAAUCGUAUCACUCCCUUCACGGGAGAUACUUUACAAAAUACUCAAUUGCCCAUAUUAAACUCUAAGUAUCUACGCCUCAUAUCCACAUAGGAAUUUGAUGACUUUAGGUGGUUUUCAACCUAUCACGAAUCACCUUCACCUUAUCUAAGGCUUGGUGAACUAAAUCUAGGCCAAGCAACUUACCCUCACCAACUUUGUACCACCAAAUAGGAGAUCGACAUCUCCUAUCAUACAGUGAUUUAAAGGGCGCCAUGCCAAUACUAAAGUGUUAACUAUUAUUAUAGGCGAACUCAAUCAAAGGUAAGUGGUCAUACCAACUUCCACUAUAAUCAAUCAUACAAGCCCGUAACAUAUCUUUCAAUGUUUGGAUAGUCCUCUCCACUUAUCCAUCUGUUUGUGGGUGGAAUACGGUACUAAGGCACACCUUAGUUCCCAAACCUCUUUGGAACAACUUCCAAAAGUGGGAGGAAAAUGGAGAACCACGAUCCAAUAUAAUAGACACUAGAGCACCAUGCAACUUUACAAUCUCUGUAAGAUACAACUUAGAAUAAUCUUUUGUUGAGAAAUUAGUUCUCAUGGGCAAGAAAUAGAUGGACUUGGUCAUUCUAUCAACGAUGGCCUAAAUAGAAUCAUAUUGAUUCCAAUAUCUAGGAAGACUGAUAAUGAAAUCUAUAUUAAUUUCCUCCCACUUCCACUCAGGUAAGACAAUCUCUUGGUACAAACCAUCGGGUCUCAUGUGCUGAACUUUUACUUGUUGACAUACCAUACACUUGGCCACGUAUCUAGACACAUCUCAUUUCAUAUUACUCCACCAAUAAAACUCUCUAAGGUUUUGAUACAUCUUGGUGAACUGGGAUGAAUAGCGUAACGAGCUCCAUGAGCCUUGGCCAUGACCCUUUCUCUCAAUCCAUCGACAUCAGAAACACAUAGCCUACCUUGGUACCUCAAGAAACCAUCACCACCAAUCACAAAGUCCACAACUUUGUGUUGACCCAUAUUACUCUUAAUCUUCAUCAAAUUAGGGUCCAAUACUUACUUCUCCUUUAUCUCAACAACAAGAGAUUAUUGAGAUAUUGAAUGCACAAACACACCACCAUCCUCAGAGUCCACAAGUCAAACUCUAAGAUUUUCCAAAUGGUGAAUAUCUCUCACCAAUUCCCACUUAUCCUCAUCAAAAUAGGCCGCACUUCUCAUGGACAAUCUACUAAGAGCAUCAGACACUAUAUUUUCCUUAUCAGAAUAGUAAUGAAAACUCAUAUCAUAGUCUUUUAAUAGCUCAAGCCACCUUCUUUUCUGGAGAUUCAGUAAACAUAUAUUGGAGGCUUUUAUGGUUGAAAAGAUGUCAACUUGAGCACCAUAAAGAUAAUGCCACCAAAUCUUCAAAGCAAAGACCUCGACUAAUAACUCUAAGUCAUAGGUGGUGUAGUUCUUUUCAUGAACUUUCAAUAGCCUAGAAGCAUAGGAUACCACCCUAACAUGUUGCAUCAACAUGCACCAAGACCGACAUGAGAUGCAUCACAAUACACCACAAAACUAUCACUACCCUCGAGCAAGGUCAAAACCGAAGCCAAAGUUAAUUUAUCUUUCAACUUCUCAAACCUACCCUCACACGCUUCGGACCACAAGAACUUGACCUUCUUUUGGGUCAACUUGGUCAUUGGAGAAGAUAUAGUGGAAAAACUCUCUACAAACCUUCUAUAAUAAUCGGCUAGACCUAAGAAGCUCCAAAUAUUGGUUAGAGUUGUAGGUCUAGGCCACUUCUUAACUGUCGUGGACUUUUAUGGAUCUACCAUAAUCCCUUCACUGGAGAUGACAUGACCAAGAAAAGCUAUGACUUUCAACCAAAAUUCAUACUUGGAGAACUCGGCAUACAAAAUAUAAUCCUUUAAAGUUUGCAACAUGGCACGGAGGUGAUCUACAUGAUCCACCACACUCUUAGAAUACACUAAAAUAUAAUCAAUGAAUAUAAUGACAAACAUGUUCUAGAACAGAUGAAAUACCCUAUUCAUCAAAUAUAUGAAUGUCGUUGGGGCAUUGGUCAACCCAAAGGACAUGACAAGAAACUCAUAGUGACCAUACCGAGUUAUAAAGGUAGUCUUAGGGAUAUAUGCAUUCCUAAUCUUAAGCUGAUAAUAACCUAAUAUAAGAUUAAUUUUAGAGAAACACUUGAUACCCUAAAGUUGAUCAAAUAGAUCAUCGAUCCUAGAAAAAAAUGCUUAUUAUUUAUGGUUACUUUAUUCAACUGGUGAUAAUCAAUACACAUACGAAGGCAGCCAUCUUUAUUGUGCACGAAUAAUAUGGGAGCACCCUAAAGAGACACAGUAGGGCAGAUAAAACCUUUAUUUAAGAGGUCUUUUAAUUGCUCAAUAAGCUCUUUUAACUCUGCCGUAGUCAUUCUAUAAGGAGGGAUGGAAAUUGCCUGACUGUCCAGAAUAAGAUCAAUACCAAAAUCAAUUUCCAUAUGGAGAGGAACACCAGGAAAUACCUCGAGAAACUCAUUAACCACGGGGAUGGAUUCUAAGGAAAGCUCUUCUAAGUUAUAAUCUUUAACUUGGACAAUAUGAUACAAAUACCCCUUUUCAAUCAACUUUCAAGCUUUAAGAUAAGAAAUAAAUUCUUCUUUAGGAACUGAGAACUACAUUCUCAUAUAAUGAUCAGAUGUAAUACCCCACAUUUUUGGGCUAGUCUUUGAACCGUCGUUCCUACGUGUAUAAGCUAAAAUCCAAAUGAUUCUCGUGUGAAUAUAAGUUUUAUGAUCUUUAUCCUCAUGUUUAAUGUGCUUUCGAGGUAAAAAAUGUUCAUAAAAAUCACUUAGAACAAAGUUGAGCUUAGAGCCUUUGAUUCAUCCAAAGUUUGGUAUUCGAUUCUACAAGGGUCUACUUUGAACGUGCAUAAAUUUUUAUAUACAUAGAAUUUUGCAUCUCAAAAUCCACCAAAUUGUAGAUACUUGAAUUAUCUUUAAAAUUAUACCAAUUUUUUCUUAAUUUGAUAUUCAAGAAAAAAGUUAUGGUAUUAUCUGAGUGAUUAAGUAAGCCGACACGAUUGGGAUGCGAUGCAUUGGUCAUAGAUGCGAUUACCGAUGCGAAGUGAUGAAAAUUGCUUUACAAAACUGUUUCACACGUUAUUUCAGUUCCUAAAGGGUAUAGGGGUAUUUGGUCACUUUCUCUCACCUAAAUCCAUCCAUAACACUUAAUUUCAACCCCAAAAGCAUUAAAUACAUCAUAAUUCAUCUCUUUCUCUCCAAGAAAAUCCUAGUCCCUUCAAGAACACCAAGAAUUUCACCAAAUUUUCUCCAAGAAAGUUAAUAAUUCAAGCUUUAGGGCUCAAGAACUUUAAGAAUAAGCUUCAAGAACACUAUUAGGGAUUCAAAGUUCAAGCUUUCACAUUUAAUUUAUCAAAUAAGGAAUGUGGGGUUAUGAACAAGGAUACUCAUUCAUCCUUGUGCCCAAAACUAGUUUUAAAGUUUAAUUUACGCAUAUUGUAAUUAGGGUUCAUCCCCAACUUACUUGGUUUGAGUUUAUGGAUUUGUAAAGUGAUUUAAGUAUUAAAGUGCAUGCUUGUUCUCCUCUAUUUAUGAUUGAUUUAAAUAUUUUCAAUUGAGAUUUAAGCAUGAAAUUAUGUUGCAAGUCACAUGAAAGAAAGCAUGAGAUUCAGAGGCUUUAGUGCAUCAAGAUUUCACAUGUUUAUGAUUUGAUCCUUCGCAUGUUCAUAUUUUGAUCCAUAAGAUUCAUAUUGUGAUUUUGAUUACAUUAUCUUGACUAAAAUUAUUGAAGCAUUUCAAGAAGAUUUUUAAGCAUGAACUUAGUGAUGAUUUGAUAUGAGUUUCAAAGUAUGGGUUUUAAGACCUAAGUUAAGUAUUGAUAUUUUGAGAAGAUUUUAUUUUUAAGAACUUUAUGACUAGCUUAUAUUCAUACUUUAAGAAAGAUUUGAUGUUUUGAUUCUCAUCUUAGAUAUGGGAUCCACAUUUUAAUUUUAUUACAGUUUAUAGAAAGUAGAUUAGUUUUUAUUACAGUUUAAAAUAGACAGAAGCAUAAUUGGUUUUUCAUUACAAACCUUUAUGCUAGCUUUUAAAGUGGAUUCCUACAGAUUAAGUAUACAUAUAUAAAUCAUUUGCUUAGUAGAUUUCUAAUUCAAGGGUUAGCUUGGGAUCACUUGUGGUCCUAAGCACCAUGUGACAUCUCGGCACCUAUUUUCAAGGUGUUACAAACUUGGUAUCAAAGAAUAAGGUUCAAGUGUCCUAGGAUGUCUAUGAAGCCAUGUCUAGUAGAGUCUUGUGGAAUGGUACGAAGACUCUAUACUUUUUUUUGAGAGGCUACAGGGUAUUUAAUAAAAGUAUCCUUUCUUUCAUACUUUAGAUCGUGUUGUAAAGUUCUUCUCUUAGAAACUCCUAUCUAUUCGUGUGUCACUCUAUAAUUCUCUAUCUAUGUUAUAUUUUGAGAUCACGUAAUUAUCAAGUUCUAAUUUAUCCUAAGAUGAUGCUCUCAAAUUUACUAUCAGUAACUUCAGAAGUCAUACAAGAGGCUUAAGAGAAGCUCACUAGUGUGUUAUAAUUUCCUCAAAUCAAAAUUUAUGUCCUUAUCCAUAUGAGUCAUUCAGUUAAGGUAGAAUAAGAUAUGCAUUUAGAUUCCUUAUUAUUCCUUUAAUACAGAUAGUGCUCAUAAGAGAAGAUAGUAUGAACCUAGAUUGUUGAAUAGAGUUUGUAUUUGAGGGAUAUUGCAACCUGGAGUGUUAUGAUUCAUAAGUAGUAGAACCUUCUUAUAGUUGGAAGUAUGGGUAUAGAAGUGUAGUGAUAAUAAAAGUGGGAAUGAUGAUUGAUAGAAAGUAUAAAGAUAAACUUAUACAUGCUAUAGAUUUUGCAUUAUGGUGAUAUGUCCUGGUGUGUUAGUUUAGUGAAAGGUAGAGAAAGAGUUAUAAGUUAAGGUGAAUUAUUGUUUUCUUGAAGUAUGAAAGGAGUUAUUGAUGGUAAUUAUUAUGUUAGAAAAGUAUAUAUUAUUAAUGAAGUAUUUGGUGGUUUAGUAUUGUUAAUUUAGGCUUCCCUUGAGGUUGAAAAAGGAGUUUAGUUGAAAUUUAUAAAACUAUGAAAGAAAUUUUGGUGUAUAGAUGAGUGAAUAGUAGUGAUACAUAGAAGGAAGAUGUGCUAAUGGAUUAUAAUAAGAUAGGUCAUACGCUCAUGAUCAAUUAUUGUUAUUAUGGGGUUCUAGUGGACUAGUGUUUCUUGAUGUCUUAUUUUAUAGCUUCCAAGUGAGAAUAGUAUGUGAGGUUGGGUUUUAAUCAUGCCUAGCCCUAGGCACUAAGUUUGAACAGUGGAUGAUCAUCAAGGUGGAUGUAAUGGUUGCUUGGUUAGUGAUGCUAGUUAUAUGGAGGUGAACCAAUAGUCUUGAAAUAGUGAAUGUAAGAAUUUAAGUUUAUUGAUUUGAGAUUAAGUAUGAUAUUGUAGGUAUGAUAUAGAGGUGUGCCCAAGGUUAUAUGGGGUUGCAUUAUUUUCUAAGGUUAUUAAGUGUCGUGUGUGGUUAGUAGUGUCCUUGAGUUGUUAAGUGGAAGAAGGCUAGUUAUAUAGUACAUGGUGUUCUUAAUGGCUAAGUUAAGGAGUUAUGAUUGAUAAUGUUGAGCCUUUUGAUAUGAUCUUGAUUCUUAUGUUUUAGAAAUAUAAGUUUAGAGGCAUGAUAUUGGUAGGGUAUGAUGGAAGUAGUAUGGUUUAUUAAAGGUUUGGUGAUAUCCAUGUUAAGUGUUUGAAUAUAAGUUUGAGUCUUUGAUGAUUGAGCUAAUAGAAAUAAGAGUUGAAGCACUAGAUGGUGUGCACUCCAUGGGGAUACUCAUGAAGAUUCUAAGUUAGUAAGUUUUCAAGUAUUAGAUGAUGACUAUUGGGGAUAUAGAUAGAUAAAGUUGUAUCUCAAAAGGAAGUAUUAGCAAUGGGUUUUACACUUUCAGGUGUAGUCUUUUGGGUUAAGUUCUAUUAUUUACGUGUAUUGUUAUACCCCAGGCUCCAAAGUUCAGUUAUUAUAGUCCAAUUUAGAUAUUAGUAAAGGGGUUCUUCAGACUUAGAAUAAUGGCUUAAAGCUAAGGGGGAGAUGAUAGGAUAACUAACCAAGUCAGAUUCUUAGAUUCUAGUAGUGCUGCCAGUGUUGGAGAAAAAUACCCAGCUUAUUCUUAUUUCAGUAUUAGUACUUCAGUUAUUACGAUGUCUACUCAUGCCUUAUGUGGCAUCUCCAUGAUCAUAGUUCUGUUCAUGCAUAUCAUAGAAAACCUUGUACUCUCCUAGUCCCAAGUAUGAGGAGUUCCAGUUCAUUCAGCAGUACGAAUCAAUGUUCCAAGAAUUUAUGAACUCCAAACUCAGAUCAUGCAGCUCAUGAAUCAUGUACUCAUGCUUUAUAGUAUUCUCAGUUCCCAUAACUCAUGUUGUACUCUUAAUGAUCAGCGAGAUUUAGUUUAUAGCCAUGUAUUCCCUCAAUUUAGAUCUCUUUGAUGAAUCCAUGAUGUUGAUCCUCUAUUCCUCAGGCCUCAAUUAAGUGUCAAGUUACGUGUAGUAUCCUUCUAUGUUUCAAGGUCUGAUUUUUUAACCUUUCAGUGACCCCUCCUUAUGUGAUGAUAGUGGUGAUGAGUAAAUGUUUCUUGUUGAUGAAAGAUCAUUAUAUGUUUGUUUUAGCUAAGGCCAUAAGUGUGAAGUAAAAUUGAGGCUAAGUCCUUGAUACAUGUUGUGGUUAGUUGAAAUUUGUGUGUGUAUGUUCUUGGGGUAGUGCGUGGGAGAUUUUGUGAUAGAGGUUUAGAGAAUAUAAGGAGUAUGCUAUUAUAGGUGUUUAGACGUUCAUAUAUGGUUAUAACAAUAGGCUUGAACAUCAUAUUUGUGCAUAAGUCGAUGAAUGUAGUAUGCAUUAGUUUUCGACCUUGGAAUGUAAAUCUUUAAGUGAAUUCAUGAUCGGGGUGGUCGAUAGCACAUCUCGUGUAAGUAUUAGAUUUUUUGAGUGAGGUUUGAGACCUAUUUGGAUGGUAAAAAUAGUAAGGCUACGCAAUAUGGCUGAGGUGUAUCACAUAUCAGAUUAGUAGGGAGCAAUGCAAUGCAUCGCAUAUCUCGUUGGUAGAGCGACGCAACGCAUCACUUAUCUCAUCAGUAGUCCAGUUCAUUUAUAGUGUUAUAUGUUGUAACUUGUGAUUUUGAGUUAGGCUUGAUCAUGGUGAGAAGACUUAGUUCAGUUUAGACAUUAGUAGAUGGAUUUAUGAACAACCAUGUGAGAAUUAAAGUUGAAUCAAUGAAUAUGGUAUUUAAGGGGAAUAGUAUAGUUGAGAGAGUAUUUGAGAAGUGUUGCUUAGCUUGAAAGUAAGAAGCUGCAUUCCCUAAGGCCUAGUAAUUCUAUCUUAGCUUACGAUUUAUAUGCCUAUGUUCCAAGCUAUAGAGUUGUAUCAAUUUUAUGAUUCCCUAGUCAGAUGACUUGUUCAAACCAUUCCCAAGAUUCUUCGCUCCCUAAUAUUAUUAGAAUUUUGUAGAAGAGUGUUGAAGAAAUACUCUAUUUGAGUAUGGGAAUUCAGUAUGAUCCAGUCCAUAUAGCCUGCAAUCCUGUUUAGCAAUUAAUCAGAUAAGCUACUAUAGAUUUCCAACUUUUCAUCUAGUCUUACUAUCCGAAGUUUCAUGAAUAUGGCCAUUUCAAUAGGUAGUUUGUUCGCAUCCAUGUAAUUUGUUAAUUCAGCUCACUUCAUGCAUCAUACAUCAAUUUCAAAUUCUAGAUAUUCAGUCAUGAUUCAGACCGUAAGUGUCCCAUGCAUUAUCUCUGUCUUUCCUUAGUAUUUCAGCCAAGUCAGUAUCAUUCGGGGAAGAAAAUAUCCCAAAGGGGAGAUGUAUUGUAAUACCUUGAGCAUUCAUGUCAUAAACCUUUCAUAUUUUCUUCAAGAAACUAGAUCCAGCCUAAGGUAAUGGUUACUAACAAGUCGACUCUCUCGUUCCUAUCUCAGCCUUAUAACCAUUCUCAUGUCAUUGCCUGUAGUCAAGAAAUCAGUUCAGUUCAUGAUAUCCAGUUCAUGUAUCAUAUUUAAGGAUUAGUUAUGCAAUCAUGUUUUCAGUCAUGCAUGUUCAGAAUAUAAUCACAGUUGCCAUAGUAACCUCAGUCUAAUCAGGUUCAUUCAAGGACGAAUCUUCCCAAGGGGGAGAUAAUAUAAUACCCCAUAUUUUCAUGCUAGUCUUUGAACUAUCAUUCCUAUGUGUAUAAGCUAAAAUACAAAUUAUUCCUAUGUGAAUAUAAGUUUCAUGAUCUUUAUUCUCGUGUUUGAUGUGCUUUCGAGGUGAAAAAUGUUCAUAAGAAUCACUUAGAACAAAGUUUAGCUUAGAGCCACUGAUUCAUCCAAAGUUUCGUAUUCGAUUAUACAAGGGUGUAUUUUGAACGUGUAUAACUUUUUAUAUACGUAGAAUUUUUCCACUCAAGACCCACCAAAUUGUAGAUAAUGGAAUUAUCUUUCCAACUAUACCAAUUUUGCCUUAAUCCAACACCCGAUCAAAAAGUUAUCUCAUUUUCUGCGUGAGGCAGUAAGCCGAUGCGAUUAGGACGCAAUGCGUCGGUCAUCGACGCGAUUAGUGAAGCGAUGCGAUGGCAAUCGCAUUACAGAACUGUUUCACAUGCUAUUUCUAUUUCUAAAGGGUCUAGGGGCACUUUGGUCACUUCCCCUCACCCAAAUCCAUCCAUUACACUUAGUUUAAACCCCAAAAGCAUUAAAUACAUCAUAAUUCAUCUCUUUCUCCCCAAGAAAACCGUAGCUCCUUCAAGAACACCAAGAACUCCACCAAAUUUUCUCUAACAAAGUUAAUAAUCCAAGCUUUUGGGUUAAAGAACUUCAAUAAUAAGCUUCAAGAACACUAUUAGAGAUUCAAAGUUCAAGCUUUCACAUUUAAUUUAUCAAAUAAGGUAUGUGGGGUUAUGAACAAAAAUAUUAUUUCAUCCUUGUGCCCAAAAGUAGUUUUAAAGUUGAAUUUACAUAUAUUACAACUAGGGUUCAUACCCAACUUAUCUUUUUUUGAGUUUAUCGAUUUGUAAAGUAAUUUAAGUGUUAAAGUUCAUGCUUGUUCUCCUCUAUUUAUGCUUGAUUUAAUGAUUUUCAAUUGAGAUUUAAGCAUGAUAUUAUGUUGCAAGUUAUAUGGAAGAAAACAUGAGAUUCAAAGACUUUAGUGUACCAAGAUUUCGCAUGCUCAUAUUUUAUCCAUAAGAUUCAUAUUGUGAUUUUGAUUUAAUUAUCUUAACUGAAAUUAUUGAAGUAUUUCAAGAAGAUUAUUGAGCACGAACUUUGUGAUGAUUUGCUAUGAGUUUCAAAGCAUGGGUUUUAAGCCCUAAGUUAAGUAUUGAUAUUUUGAGAAGAUUUUGCUUCUAAGCACCCUAUGACUAGCUUAUAUUCAUACUUUGAGAAAGAUUUGAUCUUUUGAUUCUCAGCUUAGAUAUGGAAUCCACAUUUUAAUUUUUAUUACAGUUUAAAACAAAUAGAUUAGUUUUGAUUAUAGUUUAAAACAGAUAAAUGCAUAAUUGGUUUUUCAUUACAAACUGUUAUGCUAGCUUUUAAAGUGGAUUCCUAUAGAUUGAGCAUACAGAUUAAAAGGAGUAGUAUUUAGCACCAAGCGGGAAGUGUGGGUUUAGCACCAAGCAGGAAGUGUGGGUUUAGCGCAUCCUACUUUCCCAGAACUACAAGCCAACAUAGGUACAGAUUUAGAUUAUUCCCAUUUAUAUGGAUGAUAGGUACAAAUUGUGAUCACUUAGCUCAGGUUAUACUCCUUGGCAAGAUAAUGACACCUCUCUCCAACGUAAGGUUUUCCCCUUAGGGGAACUAAAUAUUGGACACUAUGAUAGCUCACAUAGUGUAUGUCGGUUGGAAGAACCUCCCUAAAGCCUAAGUCCUAAAACAGAAUAACAAAACAGCUUUUAGAAACUAAGUGUAAUAGCACACGAUUUUAUGCAGAUAUUGGUUUACAUAAGUUAUUAUCUAUGAGAUUUUAGCUUUUAGUUUACAGAUACAAAGGUGGGUCCUUUUUCACUUAGACUGCAUGAUUUAAAACAGACCUAACUUCAAUUCUACUUAGUCCAUUAGCAGAAAGUGUAAAAGUACGGCUUAUAGAACCAAGUGUUAUAGCUCACAAGGUUUAUAUAGUAUAUUUUAUCAUUCAUGAUUCUUGAUUUUCAGUUUUCAGUUAAUCCAGCCAAUGUGAGUCAUUUAUACUUAGCAUGUAUUAUUUUACAAGUUUAUAGGAACAUUGAGAUAUUGUUUUACCUAUGCAUUCACCCUUAUAUGCUCAGUACAUUCAAAAAGUGCUGAUCCACAUAUACGUCUAUGUGAUACAUUAUUUUAUAAUGUAGGUACCAGUUCAGUCAUAGUCCAAUAUCAUGAUCAGAUAGUUGCAGAUUCCAGCCAGCAUAUGAUGAGUCCUACUUCGGGGAUUUCAGUUUGAUGUCACUUAUGUACUUUAAUUUCUUACUUAUAUGUAUUUCUUAGUGGUAGUUGGAGUCGCAUCCUAGCUAUCUAUAGUGAGUAUAGUAGAGGCUUCAUAGAUGUCAGUCAGAGUCAGUCAUGUAAUGUCAGUUCUACUUUUCAGUUUCAUCAGAAUGUAAAAUUGUAUCAGCAUUGUUUUUUCUUUCUUCUUGAUUUUAUCAUGAUUAUAUUUCC
Molecule: long non-coding RNA, 21527 nt
Filed under: Capsicum annuum
Lineage: Eukaryota; Viridiplantae; Streptophyta; Magnoliopsida; Solanales; Solanaceae
Description: long non-coding RNA (CANN_LNC014335)
Source: RNAcentral